GCUAAAGGUGUGGAAGGAUCGGCGUUAAUACGAAGGGUGCAAGCGGUAAUCGGAAUUACGGGGCGUAAAGAGGGCGUAGGUGGUUCAGUAAGUUGGAAGUGAAAGCCCCGGGCUCAACCUGGGAACUGCUUUCAAAACUGCUGAGAUAGAGUACGGUAGAGGGUGGUGGAAUUUCCUGUGUAGCGGUGAAAUGCGUAGAUAUAGGAAGGAACACCAGUGGCGAAGGCGACCGCCUGGGCUCAUACUGACACUGAGGUGCGAAAGCGUGGGGAGCAAACAGGAUUAGAUACCCGAGUAGUC
Molecule: ribosomal RNA, 300 nt
Filed under: uncultured Donghicola sp.
Lineage: Bacteria; Pseudomonadati; Pseudomonadota; Alphaproteobacteria; Rhodobacterales; Roseobacteraceae
Description: bacterial SSU rRNA
Rfam family: Bacterial small subunit ribosomal RNA
Source: RNAcentral